Molecule: ribosomal RNA, 465 nt
Filed under: uncultured Enterococcus sp.
Lineage: Bacteria; Bacillati; Bacillota; Bacilli; Lactobacillales; Enterococcaceae
Description: bacterial SSU rRNA
Rfam family: Bacterial small subunit ribosomal RNA
Source: RNAcentral
CCUACGGGUGGCUGCAGUAGGGAAUCUUCGGCAAUGGACGAAAGUCUGACCGAGCAACGCCGCGUGAGUGAAGAAGGUUUUCGGAUCGUAAAACUCUGUUGUUAGAGAAGAACAAGGAUGAGAGUAACUGUUCAUCCCUUGACGGUAUCUAACCAGAAAGCCACGGCUAACUACGUGCCAGCAGCCGCGGUAAUACGUAGGUGGCAAGCGUUGUCCGGAUUUAUUGGGCGUAAAGCGAGCGCAGGCGGUUUCUUAAGUCUGAUGUGAAAGCCCCCGGCUCAACCGGGGAGGGUCAUUGGAAACUGGGAGACUUGAGUGCAGAAGAGGAGAGUGGAAUUCCAUGUGUAGCGGUGAAAUGCGUAGAUAUAUGGAGGAACACCAGUGGCGAAGGCGGCUCUCUGGUCUGUAACUGACGCUGAGGCUCGAAAGCGUGGGGAGCAAACAGGAUUAGAUACCCCUGUAGUC